RNAcentral lists this ribosomal RNA (242 nucleotides) under uncultured bacterium. RNAcentral's name for it is "partial 16S ribosomal RNA". It matches the Rfam family "Bacterial small subunit ribosomal RNA", at positions 524 to 765 of the family's 1533-position model. The record is from RNAcentral.
UACGUAGGGUGCAAGCGUUAAUCGGAAUUACUGGGCGUAAAGCGUGCGCAGGCGGUUCUAUAAGACAGAUGUGAAAUCCCCGGGCUCAACCUGGGAACUGCAUUUGUGACUGUAGAGCUGGAGUGCGGCAGAGGGGGAUGGAAUUCCGCGUGUAGCAGUGAAAUGCGUAGAUAUGCGGAGGAACACCGAUGGCGAAGGCAAUCCCCUGGGCCUGCACUGACGCUCAUGCACGAAAGCGUGGG